RNAcentral lists this ribosomal RNA (242 nucleotides) under uncultured bacterium. Its description in RNAcentral is "partial 16S ribosomal RNA". It matches the Rfam family "Bacterial small subunit ribosomal RNA", at positions 92 to 334 of the family's 1533-position model. The record is from RNAcentral.
CGACCGGCGCACGGGUGAGUAACGCGUAUCCAACCUGCCUUACACUCUUGGACAGCCUUCUGAAAGGGAGAUUAAUACAAGAUGUUAUCAUGAGUAAGCAUUUUCGCAUGAUUAAAGGUUUACCGGUGUAAGAUGGGGAUGCGUUCCAUUAGAUAGUAGGCGGGGUAACGGCCCACCUAGUCUUCGAUGGAUGGGGGUUCUGAGAGGAAGGUCCCCCACAUUGGAACUGAGACACGGUCCAA